Long non-coding RNA from Rhagoletis zephyria (snowberry fruit fly), 94 nucleotides. RefSeq lists it as uncharacterized. Lineage: Eukaryota; Metazoa; Arthropoda; Insecta; Diptera; Tephritidae. The record is from RefSeq and is a predicted model, not a curated record.
AAUUAAGUGAAUUUUAUUUACAUACAGUGCCUGAAACAAGUGUUCACGUGGUGAUUUAUUUUAAAUAUUCACAAGGUUUUUUUGUUAUUUUUCU